GGAGGAACGAGGGGCUUAUGGCUGGGGAGCACAGAAUGCAACAAGCUGAGCGGGGCAUUGCUGAACCUAGCAGAGUCAAACGCCUUUGUGGAAUCCACCUGGACAGUCCAAAGCCUGGCUUCUCCUCUCACAGCAAGGUGGGCUUGUUUGUCAACAUGGACUACGGUCCAACAGACAGACCUAUGUCACCGCAUCCACUCCUAAAGCAGGCUGGAAAGGAGCCAACUCUGCUCCAAAAUGUGCUCCACGGUACUUGGGCUUGAGGGAAUAAGCCCAGUUUGUCAAGCCAGAGUCAGUGGUACAGUAAAGGCUUUACUGGUUUGGAGUUGGCUCAUGUCUGACCAGCUGGGAGCAGAAUGAACUUAUGUCUGGGUUCGAAAGAGCAGAGUGAAAAGCUUACGUGAACCCUCCAGGUCCUGAGAGGUGUGGAAGGCCCUGAUGGACCCACACUCUUGCAGGAUAGAGCCUUCUACCUUCACAGAAGUUCCCCAGGAUUUCUAUGAAGUCAUGUUUGACCUCUGAGAGGUCCAGAAGACAGCAGAGGAAGUAAUUCUCUAAGGAGCACUGAAUGAUUAUAAGAAGGUCCAACAAAUAUUCAUAAUACCGCUUGUUUCUUUAAUACCUAAAUGUUGCACAUAUGUCAAGAAGUAUUCUGUAUCUGUGGUCACACAUAACGUUUUCUGCCAUCAGUAGCUCCAGUGAAUGGGUUUUCAGCUGGUGUGUGCAAGUAGUGAAAUAAUAUUGCUAAGAUAUAUCAACCUGUUGGUGCUUGCAGUUUAGAGAAUUUCAAGAAAGGUUGCUGUCUGGGGAGAUGUCCACCACUCCUCCUAACUCACAGUAGUAAUUUAGGCGGGGUUGCAAAUAAUACUCCAUCCUUUGAAACGGUGGGUGGAACAAAAUAAAGAAAACAUAAUAGCUUUCAUUUUGAGUUUGAACUGAUGGCUGUUUUUGACACCCUAAGUCUUAUGAAUAUGUGACCAUCCAUGUCUGUGAUGGCAUGAUAGAUGCUGUCUGUCCCUGUUGCACCAAAGCACCUCCACAGGCUUUGAUGAGUGUCUUGUUCUGCAAGGAUUGUCAGGCCACAGGAGAUCACUGAGCAAGAGAGCCUGCCUUCAGGGAAUCAACUCACCCAUAUCGUACGCUACACUGCUUUCUCUUGCUUCCUUUGCUAAAUAUUAUCCUUUAGAAAUUCAAUACGUAGGAGGAAAAAAAAAAACGCCACCCAAUAUUCCUGUGUCAUGGAACUAAACUCUAAUGUUGCUAAAUAAGAUAUAUUGUUGUCCUGCUGCAUGAAGAUGAUUUUCUUCUUGUUUUCUGCCCCUGCUUCUCGUCUUCCUUCCCAUCUUCCACUUCUGGCUGCCUAUUUCCUUAUCUUGAGUAAAUGCAUAUUCCAAUUCACUGUGUGAACCAGCUAACACCCCAAACAAAUUUGGAUAAAGCCCAGAGUUAAUUCCAGAUACAGUUUUUCCCUUUUGAUCUGUUCCACAGGGAAAGCUGCUAAGAAAAGAAAAGGGAAGAUAUCGUUCACCAGUUGUUUCUGCAUGACGUAACUCACUGCUAAAAGUAAAGGCUAAAUGUGAUGUGGUUUUUCCCAGAUUUCUCGGACCUUCACAAGCAGCUACCUAACAAAUAGCUGUUCUAACAUCCGUGAGAGCGUUUUUUGCUGUUCUUUUUGCACAUUUGAUAAAAACAACGUGGUUUGGUGAACUACAUGGUUACACCACCACUACAGAAAAUUUGUUAUACACCAAGAAAAUGAAUAUCAGAACUCAGGAAUUUACUUUGGAAGCUAGGAGCCGGUUUCCAAAUCACCUUUUUUGCCAUGUAUAGUUUUUUAUUUUCAUCCCACUUGACACCAGCUUGGCAAAACUUUCUAACUGACUUUGUUGCAUGCUGUCUCAUACAUGAUAGCCCCUGCCUUCUCCCAAAUAUUACAACUCAGUAGCACUCGUUUGAAGCUAUGGCUUGCUGCAGAGGUUUGCAGGCUGCUGAACAGCCUGCUCUGGCAACUUAUUUCAUGUACUGAGCCUAGAAAGACUCAGCCACACUUACUGAACUUGCAGCUGGCAUGGGCUCUCUAAGCAUGUUAGCCAACUUAAAAAAACCUCUUCCUAGGUGAUGGCAUGAUGAAAGAGGCAUUUAGAAACAUCGUCCUGAGAGUACCAAAACCCCUCUACCAUGUAAUGCCACUCCUUACCAAGAAAGAUUUGAGUAAAUCCGUAUGUCCGAAAAAAAUUCACUCAGGAUGGGGUAAGAUGCAUACUGGGCGGGUGGCAGCAGGGGAAGAUGCUGCAUUUAAAUGGGCAGAAUGCAGAAUCAGCUGGAAGACUAUUGCAAGUACAAACUGGAAGUGGAGAUUCCUGCUCCGCAUCGGACUGCGUUUGGAAGAACACCCGGCUCCCACUUCCAGUCUUUAAUGAAGGAGGUUGUAAGAAAGUAGCUGAAAAGCAGUCCAACUCAGAAAAAAAGUGGAAGGGAAACACCGUUCGCCCUUCUGUACCGCUUCCAGCUCAGCAUAGAAGCAAAGGCUGUUUGUUGUUUUUGCGUUAAACAAACCGGGUGUCACACUGGCAGGUACACAAACCUACAAGCAUCGGCUCCCCACCAACGCGCUUUUGUUUUAACGAGCUAAAAAGAUCCUUGAUAGCAGCUGGUGAAAGGCUCAUUGUCUUGCCACAUCCUUUCCCCGACUUGACCGGGUCAAGAGAGUAGAACUGGGCAGCUCUGGGAGCGGAGAGCAGGGUGGGAGACCCACGCUUUCCUCCGGAGCCCUCUUUCAGUUGCUGGUUUGUGCGUGUGGUCAUUUUCCUUUCAUAAUAUGUAUUUUACGGGAGGCCCUGGAAAGAACAUGUAUGGACCUGGACCUUACUGCACUUGGUAGCUACAAAUACAGAAUGAAAGGAUGCUCUGUGGCCUGACAAGUUCACUGGUUUUGUGCUCAGGUCUAUUCUUUCCUUUAACUUUGGUACCUCUUUCCUCUUUCUUUUGAGUUGCUUCACUUCCCUUUCAGCACACCUCCUUCUGUCAAUGCUGCCUCCAUUUGUUUUUUACAUAAUUGCACUUCAGUCAACCCAGUUUAUGUCUUUUUAACCAUGUGUAACUUAGUAUCACUUGUGAUAUUUCUCCUUUCCUUAGCCUUCUUUCGGCUCUUCUUUCCCGGUGGUUUCCAUGGUUUGUAUUUGCUGUGCUGCCUCUCCACCUACUAUAUGUGAAGAAGAGGAAGGGAGAAUUACCUGGGACCAGAGAGACAGAGAAUGGGGUUGAAUGUAGGCAGAACCGAGAGACUGGAGACUACGGCAGGCUAGGAUGGAGAAAAGCAGGCUGGUGGAGAAAAAAAUAAGAUGUUCGUUAAAGAGGAUGCUGGAUAUAGGAAUUUCCUACACCAGAGGAAAGGCAGGUCUUGCUGAGAACAAUAUAAAGAAGGAAGGAAGCGGUUGUUUGGGAGAGCUGGGAGAAUUGACCAUGGCUGCGGAUGAAAGGAGAAGCUGAGCCAGGCUGGGUGCGAUCAGCAGGGCCGUCAGCCUGGAGACAGCCUCCAGGAGAGGCAGAACCAAGUGUCAAAACCACAAAGGAGGGCCAGGCAGGGAAAAACCCACACCUACAAGCACAGCAGCACUCAAAACGCAGAGAUACUGAUCAGGGAUUUGCUGCACAGGGAACAGAAAGGAUGGUGAAAGCCCCCAAAAUUUUACUUUGUAAGCGACAUUGAAUAUUUACAGACAUUUAUGCAUGUGAUCUCUCAUUUUGAAUCUCCUGCACUCUGAUUCAUUAGGCUUAUAGCUAGUUAAACAGCAAUGUGUGGUAGUAUAUUAGAUCCUGGAUAGUCAACAGCUUUUAAAAUCUAAAUUUAAUUAAAUUUAAUUAAAUGCAAAGACAGGCAAAUAGGAAAACGUCAAAUGCUGCUCAGCUACCAGGUGACAACUGGAUGUAUUAGCUUUCAAAAAUCAGCAUAAAAUUCAAAAAUAGAGAAAAAACACUUUACAAAAGGCCUUCACACUCGCCCAGGACAGGGUGAGAAGGGAUAAUACUGCUUUUCUCCAAGGAAAGAGCAAACUCGGAUGGUCCAUCCACUCCUGUAAUUCCCAGAACGACACAGAACAUGAAUGCCAAGCCUGACAAUAUGUUGCUGAGUGAGGGGUAGCAGAGAGAAAGUGACUGUGAUAGAAGACAGCAUGGCAGGGAUAAACAAACAGGUGCUGUCAGCCAAAUGCUGAACGCUGCAAAUGCACCACAGCAGAUGCCCUGAUUAAA
Long non-coding RNA from Chroicocephalus ridibundus (black-headed gull), 4251 nucleotides. RefSeq lists it as uncharacterized. The record is from RefSeq and is a predicted model, not a curated record. Lineage: Eukaryota; Metazoa; Chordata; Aves; Charadriiformes; Laridae. The transcript has 3 exons.